RNAcentral lists this ribosomal RNA (428 nucleotides) under bacterium. RNAcentral's name for it is "partial 16S ribosomal RNA". It matches the Rfam family "Bacterial small subunit ribosomal RNA", at positions 355 to 776 of the family's 1533-position model. The record is from RNAcentral.
UAGGGAAUCUUCGGCAAUGGGGGCAACCCUGACCGAGCAACGCCGCGUGAGUGAAGAAGGUUUUCGGAUCGUAAAGCUCUGUUGUAAGAGAAGAACGUGUGUGAGAGUGGAAAGUUCACACAGUGACGGUAACUUACCAGAAAGGGACGGCUAACUACGUGCCAGCAGCCGCGGUAAUACGUAGGUCCCGAGCGUUGUCCGGAUUUAUUGGGCGUAAAGCGAGCGCAGGCGGUUUAAUAAGUCUGAAGUUAAAGGCAGUGCUUAACCAUUGUUCGCUUUGGAAACUGUUAAACUGGAGUGCAGAAGGGGAGAGUGGAAUUCCAUGUGUAGCGGUGAAAUGCGUAGAUAUAUGGAGGAACACCGGUGGCGAAAGCGGCUCUCUGGUCUGUAACUGACGCUGAGGCUCGAAAGCGUGGGGAGCAAACAGG